RNAcentral lists this unclassified non-coding RNA (2155 nucleotides) under Homarus americanus (American lobster). Its description in RNAcentral is "uncharacterized LOC121871645, transcript variant X2". Lineage: Eukaryota; Metazoa; Arthropoda; Malacostraca; Decapoda; Nephropidae. The record is from RNAcentral.
UAAAGGCUGACUUAAACCAAAGGACAAUAUUAUAACCUCUAAUUUGGUCUAGAAUUUAGACGCAUUCAUUUUAGCACCGAUCAAAAUCAACUUCAUGACUGAAAUCUAAAUCCGGAUUCAAAGACUAUAAACGUCUGGACUCUGGUGUUGUGGGUUUGGCAUGAAUUCAUCUAAACCAAGAUGAAGACAAAGUUUUUUGUAACAUGUGGCCGAGGCUUGAGCACCUUCGCUGAGCAAGAGAUUAAUGAGAAGGUUCCCAAGGUGCGUGAUAUCCAGCCUCUAGGAGAAGGCAAGUUGUCAUUCACUAUCCACCAGGCUUCAUCUUGGCCCCUGCCUCAAACUUCUGUUAUUAAUGAAAGUGAACAUCCCCAAAAUAUAAAAGAGAAAUUUUCACCAACUCUUGGUCUCAAUAAACCAGAAGAGGAAGCAGAGUAUAUUAAUGCCAUAGCUCCAGUAUUUAAGCUGAAGUUAGUGGAAAGAAUCUUCAUGUUGCUGCACUGUGAACACACUGAUGAUCCUGGUCGGUGCAGUGAAGGUAAAGAUGUUAAUAAUGUCUCAAAUCCAAAGGAAGCAUUUAACCAAGAGACAGCAAGAGUCAAAAAGGAGAAACUUUACUCUGAAGACAUAUGCUGUGAGAGUUUACAAAGUUCUAAGGAAACAUCAAGUUGUGAGAAUACCUUAAGAAAAUGCACAGUACCAUCAGAGAAGAACAUUGCACCUGAGAGUGUUUUAAAUGACUGUGAGAAGAAAUUGAUGAACAUCAUGAACAAUACUGAAUGGGCAGAUGUAGCACAUAGAGUCCAAGUGUUGAGGGUCUACCAUGACCACUUUGCUGGGUGCCGUGUGCUCUGUCACAACCCUGACACAUGUCCAGGGUCUGUUAACAGGAAAAUUGAUAAACAUCAGUUACAGCAGAAGCGUAAAGCCACAUUUCUGUCCUCUGGUUUAACCAAAUAUUGUCAACAUAAAAACAGGAAAAGGAGAUACCUAACUGUAGGUCCUACAGAAAAAUAUUUUCACGGAAAAGAUUUUAAACGUAAAAAAAUAAUUUCUAAUGAAGGAUUAAAUGUUCAUGGUUAUAUUAAGAAAGAAGGUUCAGUCAAUCAAAUUUCAAGAGACCAUUAUCCCUUUAUUCCCAAAAAUAAUGAAAUUAGGAAUGGAGAUGGACUGUUACUUGAUCCAUCUAAAGCUGGUGAUGAAAAACUUCUUGGUUGUAACACAGCAUUGCUAAAUGAACAAGCUUCAUCGGUAUGUACUGCACCAGUUAAAAAUGCUAAACUUCAGGUUACUGAUUUAUGUAGAACUGUUCCAUCAUGUGACAAUGAAAAAUUAUCAUUUAAGAUCACCUCAGAAAGUACAGCGAUGGUGCUAGUGGAAAACGCUGAGACAUUCCCAGUAAAUGAAGCAAGCUUAGCCAAAACCAGAACAGUAUUUGAAAAGAGAGAAGUGGUGCUUAGUAGUGAUGUAGCAAGUAUUUUCAUAUCCCCAAAUAUACCAGAUGAAGGGAUAAGGCAGCAGUGUAGUGUAAAUCAGCACAAAAAAGCAAACAGUAAUGAACAAUCAGUGAGCUUCAGAGUGUCAUGCAGAGUCUCUGGUCUUCACAAGAAUGUACUAACAACUGACUGGCUCACUCAGAAGUUUGUACAGCACUUAAGUCAAGUGAUGGAUGCAUGGGUAACUAAUUGGCAAGAACCUACGAUGGAUAUCUAUGUGAAUGUUACUGAUUCACAUUUUAUUGUAGGUGUAGCACUGGCCCCGAAGCCUCUUUCUCUGCGACGUUAUAUUCCACACAUCACUCUACGAUCUACUGUCUGCAACCUGAUGGCCAGGCUGUCCCAGAUACUUCCUGGUUGUGUGCUCUUAGACCCAAUGUGUGGUGGAGGAACCAUUUUGCUGGAGGCUGUUACAGACUUUAAGUUUUGCAGGUUAGUCAUGUUAUUGCAAGUGACAUGAGCAUAAACCAGCUUGAGGUAGCCAGAUGUAAUCUUAACAGUCUGCACACCCCCGUCAGUCUCUUACAAGCUCCUGCUACUGCACUGCCCCUGCAUGAUGCAUCUAUCAAUGUUGUGCUGUGUGAUUUCCCAUUUGGUAAAAAAUACAAGUUGACAGCUGACAACACACAGUUGCUGAGAGGGGUUCUACUAGAAUGUCAAAG